GGCCCUUCUACCCUGGACGGUAGGAUCUUACCGGAAACUACCUCCUGCUCAGCCUUUAAGCAUUUAUAUAGCUAAGAACCUUAUAGAAGAAAUAUAUGAAUGUUCAGCCUGGCUGAUUUGGAUCCUACCAAAAAGAUACUUUUGGUCACAGGUCAUCCUACUCUCAGAACUUAAUGCUGGAAAGAGCAUGUAUUAUACUCAAUCAAGGACCUAAGGCUGACAGAACAGUCACUACCUCAAAGGUUGACAGUAGCUGCCAGAGGGAAAAAAGCUCUGAAGAAUCCAGAAUCAACAUUUCCGUUCCCUGGUCUGGGUAACUGAACUCACCCUCAACAGGGAACAAUCCCUGACGAGAUCUGCUUGGAGACAUCAAAACUAAGUAGAAGAAUGGAUAGCAAGAGCUGGAUCCUCUUGGUGGCCAUGGGACAGCAAGCUGGAAGGUAUGGAUCCUUCAACCUCAUAUGCCAAACUACACUGGCACUUUUAGGAGAACCCAAUGUACAACAGAUCACCAAUACUGUGUCCCCACCUCCCGCACCAUGCAUUCCACAUUUGUCACCUCAGCCCUCAUUCAUAUGGUCUAGCUUGGUUUGCCUGGAGGGGAAACCCAGACAUUACUUCAAGAAGUCUGAGACCCCAGUUAAAAGCACCAGACUGGCUACAGCUUUUUUUGGGAGGCCAAAUGUGAGAAUACCAGGACACACCUAGUGAAUCCCAGACAAGCCACUGCCUAGACACAUUCCGUAGCAAAACCUUUACCUCAGUCAUUUAUAGUUAUUUUCUUUGUUUAUCCAAAAUGACCUGCCAGUAUUAAGUGGGACCUGAGACCCUUGGGAGGAACCUCUCUGCCAGGAACCUGAACUGACUGAAGAAAAGCACAAAUUCCUCGAGUGGGUCUCUUAAAUAGAUGCCAAGGAAAGCCACUCCCAUCUUGUACCCUUGGCGAGAACAAUACUUGUAUUCUAUGUACUGGUUACAGCAAAUGAUGGCUAUUCAAAAUACACAGCAAUUUCAAGGCGGCCAUUUAUCCAAGGCAAAGUUGAUGCAUCAGCUGUGGACAGGAGGCCAUCUUCAGGUCUAUCAGACUGGCAGCCUCUGACCUACACAGUGACAAGGCAGUUUCUGUGAUCCUUUUUUGCCUAUUAUUGUCCUUCAUCAUUCACCACCAUGAGUCCGUCUGAUUUUUGCAGGUACCAUACAGGUACACUGAAAGGGAUAUUACUAAAGGGGAUAUAACUAACAGGGAGCUUCUGCAUCCUUUAUGACUUUGAAAACUAUCUCU
Long non-coding RNA from Saimiri boliviensis boliviensis (Bolivian squirrel monkey), 1282 nucleotides. RefSeq lists it as uncharacterized. NCBI's taxonomy places the organism in Eukaryota, Metazoa, Chordata, Mammalia, Primates, Cebidae. The record is from RefSeq and is a predicted model, not a curated record.